Molecule: long non-coding RNA, 427 nt
Organism: Girardinichthys multiradiatus
Lineage: Eukaryota; Metazoa; Chordata; Actinopteri; Cyprinodontiformes; Goodeidae
Exons: 4
Source: RefSeq, a predicted model, not a curated record
CUGGCAUUAAAAACAGGUUUAGUUUCACAGUAGUCCCAGAGCAGAGACAUCAGACUUUUCAACAUCCUCAACAGCGUCAAGUCUGCUACUGCUAAAAAAAGGAAACAAAGAAAUUGCUGCAUCUGCUUCUAAUGAUUCUCAGAAGUACAAUGCCAUCUUUAGAAAACCCACCACUAAUGACCUUGAGGAUUUCAUCUUGACACAAUCGGAAUAUGAUUUGAUGAGAGAGGUAAACCCGAAUGAUCAAGUUGGAGGGGUCAGCGGCUGGAAUCGACCUUCCCCCCGACAAUCAAAGUUGAGAAGGUGGGUUAUCUCCAAAAAAGAAAACCCGACAACAUCUGAACUUUCUUCUAACAAAGAAAGAAAAUCGGAAUCGCUAAAUGCGCCUCUGCAAAUUAUCAUCAUUUCCCCUGAAAACCCACCGGAU